This 3182-nucleotide ribosomal RNA is filed under the name Minisyncoccota bacterium. RNAcentral describes it as "23S ribosomal RNA". It matches the Rfam family "Bacterial large subunit ribosomal RNA". The record is from RNAcentral. Lineage: Bacteria; Bacillati; Minisyncoccota.
AAGCAAAAUGACCACAUUAAAGGGCGCACGGAGGAUGCCUUGACACGAAUAGGCUAUGAAGGACGUUGCGUGACUGCGAAAAGCUUCGGUGAGCUGUCGAGCAAGCUAUGACCCGGAGAUGUCCGAAUGGGGCAACCCAAUCAUGUGAACCAUGAUUAUUCUGCGCAAGCAGGAAGCAUACUUGGGGAAGUGAAACAUCUCAGUACCCAAAGGAAAAUAAAUAGAAUUAGAUACCGUGAGUAGCGGCGAGCGAAAGCGGCACAGCCUAAACCAUUUUCAAAUUAGUUUACUAAAAUGAGGGUGGGGUAAUAGGGAUAGUACACUUGAAAUUUUAACUUCGCGCAGACACAUCGUGCGUGGAGUUAAAACUUCAUAAGAAGUUAAAAAUUCGUGCGGUAGGAGAACGGCCUUGGAACAGCCGACCAUAGCAGGUGACAGUCCUGUAUCCGAAACCAAACGAACUUCUGUAUUGUUACCUGAGUAGCCCAGGAUAAGAAUGUCCGGGGUGAAUUUGUCCAUACUACUGGAUAAGGCUAAAUACUAUUCGUGAUCGAUAGUGAACCAGUACCGUGAGGGAAAGGCGAAAAGAACCCCGGCGAGGGGAGUGAAAUAGAAACUGAAACCGUGUGCCUACAAAGAGCCGGAGCCUGCCGUCGCAAGACGUCGGGUAACGGUGUGCCUAUUGAAGAAUGACCCGACGAGUUUACUUACACCGCACUAUAAGUUCCACUGGGACGUAUGGACAGGGAAACCGAGUGUUAAUAGCGCGUUUAAGAACUUUCACCUACAAGCUUUAGGGCUUAUAGGUGAAAUGUCUUUAUGCGGUAUAGGUAAGACCCGAAGCCAGGCGAGCUAACCAUGAGCAGGGUGAAGCUUAUCGAAAGAUAAGUGGAGGCCCGAACCGUUUGAUCGCUCAAUGUCAUCGGAUGACUUGUGGUUAGAAGUGAAAAGCUUAUCGAGCUUGGUAAUAGCUGGUUCUCCCCGAAAUGUCUUUAGGGACAGCGGUAUGGAGUAAUGAAGGGGGUAGAGCACUAAUUGGUUAGCCGUGCCAGCAAUGGUAGGCCUACCAAAUAAACUCCGAAUACCUUCAUGAAAUCUAUGCCAGUGAGUACGCGAGGGCUAAGCUUCGUGUACGCAAGGGAAACAGCCCAGAUCACAAAUUAAGGUCCCAAAAUUUAUGCUAAGUGAAAAGGAAGUUCGUUGCCUUAGACAGGUAGGAGGUUGGCUUAGAAGCAGCCAUCCUUUAAAGAGUGCGUAAUAGCUCACUACUCGAUUCCGUCGCAAGACGGAGAGGCAAUGUGCGCCGAAAAUGUAUAGGGGCUAAGCAUAAUACCGAAAUUGUGGAUUCGUACAUUUACUUGUACGAGUGGUAGGGGAGCAUUCUCAACUGCUGUGAAGGUGAACUGUGAAGUUUGCUGGAGCGUUGAGAAGGGAGAAUGUUGGGAUGAGUAACCGCAUGUGAUGUGAAAACCAUCACCGCCGUAAGUCCAAGGUUUCCUCCGCGAUGGCAAUCAUCGGAGGGUUAGGCGUGCCUAAGUGUAAGGUGGCUUUAGGGCCACCGAUCAUAAUGGACAGCCAGUUAAUAUUCUGGCCCUCCAGUGUUGAUCGAAGGAGUGACGGAGAGUUGUAGGUUGACCGUAUAAUCGGAUUUAACGGGUAUAGCGUGAGGGUGGGACGCAGGAAAAUCCACGUCCAGUCGCAAGACACAUCCGAGCGCCUUACGAAUUGUCGCAAGACGAAAUUCAACUGAGCACGCUUCCAAGAAAAACUUCUAAGAUUAUCAACAUUGGAAACGUACCGCAAAACCGACACAGGUGGACUAGUAUCAGUGUACUAAGGCGAACGAGUGAUUAUUGGCUAAGGAACUCGGCAAAAAAGCGGCCGUACCUUCGGUAUAAGGCCUGCCCUUUUCAUCGCAAGAUGAUGGGGGCCGCAGCGAAAGAACCCCUGGCGACUGUUUAUCAAAAACACAACUCCGUGCUAAGCCGCAAGGCGAUGUAUACGGGGUGACGCUUGUCCGGUGCCGGAACGUUAACGGUUGAACUGGUAUGUCGCAAGAUGUACUGGGGAGGCCCGAAGCGCCGGUGAACGACGGCAGUAACUAUAACUGUCUAAAAGUAGCGAAAUACCUUGUGGGGUAAGUUCCCACGCGCAUGAAUAGCGGAACGACUGGGGGACUGUCUCAGCCAAUAGCUCGGUGAAAAUGCAAUGUCGGUAAAGAUGCCGACUACCCGCACCUAGACGGAAAGACCCCGGAAGCUUCACUGCAGCUUGGUAUUGGUCUACGAGUUGUUAUACGUAGCGUAGUGGGGAGGAUUUGAAGUCGUGCUCUCGGGCCCGAUGGAUCCGCCAAUGAAACACCCAUUUUAACGAUUUGUAGCUCUAACCGGUAGCACCCUAAGAGGGUGAAACAUAAAAAGCUAAAGUGAACUCUGGUAAUACUAAAUAGUGCAUUAUUGUACUAAUUUAGUUGGAGUGAUUUUAGAUUUUUAUUUGUUACACCUUGUUAGGGUGUUAUCGAGACAGUGCCUGGCAGGCAGUUUAAGUGGGGCACUUGCCUCCUAAAGAGUAAUGGAGGCGUUUAUCAAGGUUGGCUAGUUCCGGAUGGACAUCGGAACGAUAGCGUAAAGGCAAAAGCCAGCUUAACUGCAAGACGGAUGUGUCGCGCAGAUGCGAAAGCAGAACUUAGUGAACCGACGCUACCUCGUAGGAGGGGCGAAGAUCAACAAAUAAAAGCUACUCCGGGGAUAACAGGCUAGUACUGCCCGAGCGUUCACAGCGACGGCAGUGUUCGGCACCUCGAUGUCGGCUCGCCCUAUCCUGGGACUGAAGAAGGCCCCAAGGGUUUGGCUGUUCGCCAAUUAAAAGGGUACGCGAGCUGGGUUCAAACCGUCGUGAGACAGGUUGGUCCAUAUCUGGUGCGGGCGUUGAAAUUUGAGGGGGGUUGUCUCUAGUACGAGAGGACCGAGAUGAACGAACCUCUGGUCUGCCAGCUGUUCUGCCAAGAGCAGCGCUGGGUAGCUAUGUUCGGUGCCGAUAAGUACUGAAAGCAUAUAAGUACGAAACGGGCCCCAAGAUUAGAUUUCUUAGACUCCUUGUAGAUUACGAGGUUGAUAGGGCUUAGGUGUACGCACCGCGAGGUGCUCAGCCAAGAGCUACUAAACAGUCAUAAUUUUGAGUAA